GUCUUUAUGAUUAUAAUUUAAAGUCUGACCUGCUCAAUGAAUAUUUUAAAUAGCUGCGGUAUAUUGACCGUACAAAGGUAGCAUAAUCAAUAGUUUUUUAAAUGAAAACUGGAAUGAAAGGUUUGAUAAAAAAAAUACUGUCUUAAUUUAAUUUUUUUUAAAAAUUUAUUUUUUAGUUAAAAAGCUAAAAUAUUUUUGAAAGACGAGAAGACCCUAUAAAGUUUGAUUAAAUAAAAUUUUAUUUUUAUAAAGUUAAAAUUAUAAUAAAAUUUUAGUUAAUUUGAUUGGGGUGAUUGAAAAAUUUGAUAAACUUUUUUUAAUUUAAAUUCAAUAAUAUUUGUUUCUUUUUUUGAUCCAUUUUUAUGAUUAUAAGAUUAAAUUACUUUAGGGAUAACAGCAUAAUUUCUUUUUAGAGUUCUUAUCGAAAAAGGAGAUUGUGACCUCGAUGUUGGAUUAAAAUUAAUUUAAGGUGAAGAAGCUUUAAAAUUUGGUCUGUUCGACCAUUAAAAUUUUACA
This 516-nucleotide ribosomal RNA is filed under the name Gloeosoma sp. CO965. RNAcentral's name for it is "partial 16S ribosomal RNA". The stretch from base 390 to 516 matches the Rfam family "Archaeal large subunit ribosomal RNA", at positions 2542 to 2669 of the family's 2987-position model. The record is from RNAcentral. Lineage: Eukaryota; Metazoa; Arthropoda; Insecta; Coleoptera; Corylophidae.